GACAUCAGAUUAAAUGUUAUAUAAAUAUCAAUUAGACAGAGAAGAUUAGCAUGGCCCCUGUGCAAGGAUGACACGCAAAUUCGCAAAGUGUUCCAUAUUUUA
This 102-nucleotide small nuclear RNA is filed under the name Castor canadensis (American beaver). The record is from RNAcentral. Lineage: Eukaryota; Metazoa; Chordata; Mammalia; Rodentia; Castoridae.